Molecule: ribosomal RNA, 450 nt
Filed under: uncultured bacterium
Lineage: Bacteria
Description: bacterial SSU rRNA
Rfam family: Bacterial small subunit ribosomal RNA
Source: RNAcentral
AACGAACGCUGGCGGCAGGCCUAACACAUGCAAGUCGAACGCCCCGCAAGGGGAGUGGCAGACGGGUGAGUAACGCGUGGGAAUAUCCCCCUUAGUACGGAAUAGCCCAGGGAAACUUGGAGUAAUACCGUAUACGUCCGCAAGGAGAAAGAUUUAUCGCUGAGGGAUUAGCCCGCGUAGGAUUAGCUAGUUGGUGAGGUAAUGGCUCACCAAGGCUACGAUCCUUAGCUGGUUUGAGAGAAUGACCAGCCACACUGGGACUGAGACACGGCCCAGACUCCUACGGGAGGCAGCAGUGGGGAAUCUUGGACAAUGGGCGCAAGCCUGAUCCAGCCAUGCCGCGUGAGUGACGAAGGCCUUAGGGUUGUAAAGCUCUUUUACCAGGGACGAUAAUGACGGUACCUGGAGAAUAAGUCCCGGCUAACUUCGUGCCAGCCGCCGCGGUAACAC